Non-coding RNA from Schizosaccharomyces pombe (fission yeast), 3095 nucleotides. The record is from the annotation of a GenBank genome assembly. NCBI's taxonomy places the organism in Eukaryota, Fungi, Ascomycota, Schizosaccharomycetes, Schizosaccharomycetales, Schizosaccharomycetaceae.
CUUCGAUAGUCAGAUAUAUUAUACAGUAUUGGACGCAAAGUUGUUUGUAACAAUUCUUUUGAUAACUUUUGGUCCUCUUGCAAAGCGUUCUUGAGACCUAAUGAUGCCGCUUCAAUAAGCUCCUUGGACUUUGCAUACAAAGAUUUAAAAAAAACAACAAUAAUUCCUUCACGUAAGUGUGCAUGUUGAGGGUUAUUAAAAUCAAUCUUCAAAAUGCAAGUACUGAGUAAUUCUACACAUACUACUCUCAAACGUAUAAGAAGUGCAGCGUUUUUGAAGUGAGAAGUUUUACCAAUUCCAAUAAGAGCAUCAUCGUCCGCUUCUGCUAAAGCAGUGGUUUCAUGAAUAAGACGAAUUAAUUCGUCGGAAAAAGUAAUCAAUUCACUUCCAAGACUUAUGCAGUAAUUUACAGCAUCGAUAUGUCCAAUUUGUAUAUGGAAAGGUAAUGCUCGAAGAGGUUUUGCAAAUAUUGGUGAGAGAAGUCUUUCUUUGAAAGGUGAAACUAGUUUAACAAUCGGAGUAUUUGAAAGUUCCGACAAUAAAGAAAGCAAUUUUUGGGUAGAAGAACGGACCACAGAAUUAUGAUUUGACAAUUCCAAUACUAGAUGCCCUAAAAUUCCGGGAGCAAUUUCAGUAUCUUUGGAAGCAUAUAUUUUUCGAAAUAACUGCUUUAAAACGUCCAUCACGUGAUCCUUACAGACAGUAGGGACUUCUGAGGUAGUAUCUUUCAAUGUAAAAAAUAGCGCAGUUAAAAUAUCAACUUGUCUGUCAAAAAGCCAUUUAGAAGAAUGAUCUUGCUCUAUCAAACAUUCCAAUCCAAAACAGCCUCCGUAUUUUUUAUACCAAUGAGGGUCAUAACAUUUGUGCCGGAAAUCAGAUAAUAAGACCUCAAAAAUUGGAAGGAUAAAAGCCCUUUCUGGAUUUUCAAAAAUCGAUUCUAAAAAACUAAACAUAAAUUUAAGUACAUGUUUCACAGCAUCACCCAUCUUGCUAUUGUCAUUACAAACGACUUCUGAUAGACAAUGAGCAAAAUAAUGAGGACUAAUAAUAACCUCCUUUUGCAAAUUAGUCGUAAAUUUUGAAUGAUUUCCUUGAAUAACGUCAAAAGCAUAAAAAAUAUCGUGUACAAUUACGUUGACCGCCAGUUUUUCAAGCCAGAAGUAAGCUUCUUCGCGGAGUUCAUCAACCGUCGUAGCAAAAAAAAGUCCAUAUGUAGCCGAGGCCAAAAUUAUGGUUUCAUCUGAAUCAUCACUCAGUUGGGUGAAUGAACUCCUUCCAGUCAUUCGGCUCGGUAUUACAGAAUAUGGUCGUCGAAAAUCAAAAUUACUCUUAGAAAUCUUGUCUGCAGUACAUCGAAUGGAUGAGGCUAAGCUGUUAGUAGCGUCACUCUUAUAAACAUAGAGCUUUGAAAUAUUGCAAACAUAAGUGAACGCUUGUUGCUUAACCUCCAGAUCACUAGAAGGGCUAGAAAGCAAAUUCACAGCCUCAUCAACAUAUUGGGUGUAAUGUAAAAGUUGUGGUUGUUUAACCCCUUUUAUCGAAAGAAGUAAAGUAAAAUCGUUAUUCGGUUCCGGCGAAUUCUUUAAACUCUGGACUCUAUCAAGAAGCUUCCUAUUUCUUCCACCAAGUUUACCAAGUAUUUUCAAGGCAGUAUGGCUGUGAUUAUAAUUAUAAGGAAGAGGUUGUAGAUGACUCCAUAAAGCAUUCAUUAGAUCUUCUAUGUAAGGAGCCAUUAUCGGAUCCAAAAAAUCAGGAGUGAGAUUAUCCAAGCAUAAUUCAAAGGUUCGUAAUCCCUGACUAACUAAUUCUUGACUGCUUUUUAAAGACAUGACGAGAGGUCUCAUUAGAUAACUCAUGUAUGGUAAUAAAAGACUAAGCCUUACAGGAAUAGUAAGACAAAGUUCGGUAAAAAGGUCUUUCUCCUUCGGAGUACGGGCAGAUAUAAGCAAUGAAUUAAAUGCCUCUAAUAGAGCGUGCAACAAAGGCAUUACUUCUUUAUAAAGGCUUUCAAAUCUUCCCCCACCAAUUCCUCGGAACAACGCUCUUAAUAGAUAAUAGUAGUUCAAUGAAUUAGCAGAAUUGGGAGCCAACUUCAUACAUUUCACAAUAAUUUCAGAUACAUAAGGCCGAAGAACUGGCUCAUUCUCUGUUGCAAACAUUGAGACUGUAACGAAAGAAAGACGAAACAAACGCAACAAGACAGAACCAUGCCUGAUGUCAGAAGAUCCGAGUUCCUCAAUUCUGGAAAGCAGAAAUCGAAGUAAAAUAUUUAAAAAUUUUGAUGAUGUGCUCUCAUUUGAAAGCAAAAACUGUGGAAUGUGAAAUAAUGUGAGAUUUUUUUUAAGUUGAUCAAAAAAAGUAGGAAGGUUUGUUUCAAAAACUUUAAGAAAUAUAGAUGGCUCGAGAUGUAUAAAAAUGGUAGCAAAUACUUCAAGACAAUCUUUCUCGUCUUUGUUACGAGGAAGCGUAGAUAUAGCAGGGCGAUCUAAACUUUCUUCUUCGCAGCAGAAAAAAGUUUCUAAAUAGACUUGCUCAGGUCGAAAAUAUGAGAAUCCUUUGCCAACCUCAAAAAAAAGCUUCUGAAACGUAACAGCUUCGAAAGGCUUGAUAUUCGUAAGGAAUCCCGAAAAUUGUUCACCUCCAAUUUCUAUGCAUCGAGACUUGCAUGUACGAAGCCCAUACAUAAGAGCCCGUAAGCCAAACAUCAAGUUUUUAAAAAGAAAUGAUCCAUCAUUGACGGAAGUGCUAAAUGAAGAUAAAUCCCUAGGAGAAGAACGCGUCGGUGACUUUGUCUCUUUAAUUUCUUCUUCAUACUUUUUCUUAAAAAACUGAUCCAAACUAUCAUUAAGUUCCGAAAACUUAUUUACAAAGCUAUCAAAAAUAGAUAAAAGAAGAAAUAUAGCAUCGGGGAUGCUAGGAAGACUAAUCAUUCUGUCAACCAUGUUUAAAAUGAGCCGGGCACCCAUAGUCUGUAACCCAAUGCUAAGAGUCAAAUCAUGCAUAUUGGUCGAAUAAAUCAUUAUAGAUUUUCUUAUUUGCGUUUCGUUAAGUUCGUCACGUACAUGAUGAAGUAAGUCAGCUAAUGUACUAAAUGC